RNAcentral lists this ribosomal RNA (549 nucleotides) under uncultured archaeon. RNAcentral describes it as "bacterial SSU rRNA". It matches the Rfam family "Archaeal small subunit ribosomal RNA", at positions 325 to 878 of the family's 1478-position model. The record is from RNAcentral.
ACGGGGUGCAGCAGGCGCGAAAACUUUACAAUGCGAGCAAUCGUGAUAAGGAAACCCUGAGUGCCUGUCAAUGCAGGCUGUUCUGGUGUCUAACACCCACCAGGAGAAAGGGCGGGGCAAGACCGGUGCCAGCCGCCGCGGUAAUACCGGCUGCUCGAGUGGUAGCCAUUUUUAUUGGGCCUAAAGCGUUCGUAGCCGGUUUGAUAAGUCUCUGGUGAAAUCCUAUAGCUUAACUGUGGGACUUGCUGGAGAUACUAUUAGACUUGAGGUCGGGAGAGGUUAGCGGUACUCCCAGGGUAGGGGUGAAAUCCUGUAAUCCUGGGAGGACCACCUGUGGCGAAGGCGGCUAACUGGAACGAACCUGACGGUGAGGGACGAAAGCCAGGGGCGCGAACCGGAUUAGAUACCCGGGUAGUCCUGGCCGUAAACGAUGUGGACUUGGUGUUGGAAUGGCUUCGAGCUGCUCCAGUGCCGAAGGGAAGCUGUUAAGUCCACCGCCUGGGAAGUACGGUCGCAAGACUGAAACUUAAAGGAAUUGGCGGGGGAGCA